UACGGGGGGGGCAAGCGUUGUUCGGAAUUACUGGGCGUAAAGGGCUCGUAGGUUGCCAACUAAGUCAGACGUGAAAUCCCUCAGCUUAACUGGGGAACUGCGUCUGAUACUGGAUGGCUUGAGUUUGGGAGAGGGAUGCGGAAUUCCAGGUGUAGCGGUGAAAUGCGUAGAUAUCAGGAGGAACACCCGUGGCGAAGGCGGCUCUCUGGGUCCGCCCUGACGCUGAGGCGCGAAAGCGUGGGGAGCGUACGGG
This 253-nucleotide ribosomal RNA is filed under the name uncultured bacterium. Its description in RNAcentral is "partial 16S ribosomal RNA". It matches the Rfam family "Bacterial small subunit ribosomal RNA", at positions 524 to 776 of the family's 1533-position model. The record is from RNAcentral.